CUACCAUGGCGAUCACGGGUAACGGAGAAUUAGGGUUCGAUUCCGGAGAGGGAGCCUGAGAAACGGCUACCACAUCUACGGAAGGCAGCAGGCGCGUAAAUUACCCAAUCCUGACUAAGGGAGGUAGUGACAAGAAAUAUCGAAUCGGGUGCCUUUGUGCAUUGCGAGUUUGAAAUGAGAACAAUCUAAAUAACUUAUCGAGGAUCAAUUGGAGGGCAAGUCUGGCGCCAGCAGCCGCGGUAAUUCCAGCUCCGAUAGCGUAUAUUAAAGUUGUUGCAGUUAAAAAGCUCGUAGUUGAACUUCUGCAAGUUUGAGGUUUCGUCCUUUUAGGCUCGUUACCUUCUUGCAUCCCAUUAGUUUUAACAUCACGGCCUUUGUUGGUCGGUUGUAAAAGCUAUGAAUUUACUUUGAAAAAAUUAGAGUGUUUCAAGCAGGCGAUUUGCUGGAAUACAUUAGCAUGGAAUAAUAGAACAGGACCUUUUGAGUCAAUUUUAUUGGUAUCAAUGACCAUAGGUAAUGAUUAACAGGGACAGUUGGGGGCAUUAGUAUUAUUUCAGAAGAGGUGAAAUUCAUUGAUUGAGAUGAGACUAACUUAUGCGAAAGCAUUUGCCAAGGAUGUUUUCAUUAAUCAA
Molecule: ribosomal RNA, 632 nt
Filed under: Ciliophora sp.
Lineage: Eukaryota; Ciliophora
Description: SSU rRNA
Rfam family: Eukaryotic small subunit ribosomal RNA
Source: RNAcentral